This is a long non-coding RNA of Acinonyx jubatus (cheetah), 4933 nucleotides long. RefSeq lists it as uncharacterized. The transcript has 2 exons. NCBI's taxonomy places the organism in Eukaryota, Metazoa, Chordata, Mammalia, Carnivora, Felidae. The record is from RefSeq and is a predicted model, not a curated record.
GAUGCCUGGGUGGCUCCAGAGUCAGCUGAGCCUGCUUAAGAUUCUUUCUCCCUCCCCCUCUCCCUUACUUAUGUGCUCUCUCUAAAAAUAAAUAAAAAUAAAUUAAAAAAAAAGACAAUCUUCUUAGAAUUAGUAUUUAAUGUUAUGUUUUAUUCAUUUGACUAACAUUUUAUACCUAUUCUUUUUAAAUAAAUACUUAUUCUAUGGGAGAUAGAAGUAGAUAACUACAGUGUCUGCUUGGCUGAUUUCAUCUAUUUCUACAGGAAGUACUUCUAACCACAGGGUCACCCCUCAGGAAUCAUACUCACAACUAGUGAAGUUGCUCUGUGGCCAUAACUGAUUGGACAACUGGCUGGAGUCCCUUCAUGAAGCCUGGCUGCAUCCUUGUCCUUUAAUUUGUAAUGCUACUCUUCAGUAUCCUUAUAACUGGAACUUUUUCUUUCUUUCUUUCCUCUUUAGAAUUAAGUUUGAAUUCAUUACUGUUAGUGAGAACCAAAGAACUCUAAACAAAUGAAGAUGGACCUUUCAAGAUUUGGAAAUCAAGACAUUUUUUUGCCACAGUUAAAUGCUAACUGCAGGGAUUUAUUAAGUGCCUAUUGUUCAUCACGCACUGAAGACAUAAGAGCAAACAUCGACAAAUUCCUGCCUUACAGAUGUUUACAGGCGUUAAGUAGAAGGUUAUCAAUUAAAUCCGCAGAUAAAUGGAAAACUGCAAUUUUGAAGGAGGUUACAAAAAGAGUUUCCAACAGGACGAUUUGGCUUCUUCGAGGAAGAAGGGGAAGGCUCCCUUAAAGAAGUGAAAUUGAAAGCAAGAGUCAGAAGUUGCCGGAAUCAAAGGACUGCUCAGGUACACAGAAAGCCGUGUGCAGAGGAACAGUGGCAACAGGAAACACGUGAGGAUGUGCGGCUAAAAGAGGACUUGGAAAGGGGCCAGAUCAUGAGAAUCUUGAAGGUGUUAUUUAAGGAGCUCCUUUUUCUGUUUCCUAAGAGCAACAGGCACACAGACAUCAAAGUGUAUGAAGAAGGAGGGGUAAAAUAAUCAGGUGUGUUUGUUUUUUUUAAUUACUCUGUCUACUCAAGAAGAGUCAAAACCUCAAAUGAGAAGUCCUGAAAUGGCGAGGGAGAUGGGAAGAGCCCAGAGGCCGCAGGGCCGGCUAGAGAAAGGUGGGGAGAAUUGAGAAUGGGAAUCCUGGACACGAGGGUGAAGGCGCUAGAGGGAAGGUGGCCUGCAGGCUUAUUGUUACAUAUUGCCAAGGGCUUCUUUGUUUAACCCUGCCUUUGAAAAUAGAAACUGAUGUGGCAAAGACUGGUUCAGGUAAGAAUCGUCAAUACAUACUCAAUUUAUGGGAUAAACUUUGAUGAAGAACCGUACAUGGUCUUAAAACAUCUCCCCAAAUAUUGCUUCUGAGUUGCUCAUGAGUAAACACACAGAAACAGUGUAACACCUUAAUCAGGUGAUCCAAACAGCACCAUGAAGGGGGAAGAUGGACACUGUGUGCCUCUGGGUAUGAUAACCUGAGGAUGUUUCAUCACUUAUAUAGCAUUCAUGGCUUGGAACACAUAACCUGAAUAUAACAGUCAUCAAGAAACACCAAUCAAGUGUCUCAGAGACACACGUUUUACUUAAAGAGGAGGGCUGAGUUACUCAAAAAUCUCAGUGUCAUAAAGACAAAAGGCAGGCUGAGGAACUCUUAAAGCAGACUGGUGGGCUUAAAACAGUACAAAUUUAUGAUGUUACAAUUGUUGAGGUCAGAUCCAACUCCAGGCUGUUUAGGCUCAAAUCAAGGUGUGCAUGUGGGCUGGUUUAUUCAAAGGGGCUCUUCAGGAGAAUUAUUUUCCUUGCCCUUUUCAGCCUUUAGAGGCCACCACCUGCAUCCCUUGGCCCGUGGCCCCUUCCCCAUCUUCAAAGCCAAUAGCGUAACAUCUUCUAAUCACUCUCUCUGGCUCUGAUAGUUCUGCCUCCCUCAUAUAAGGAUUCAUGUGAUUAGAAUAGAACAAUCUGGAUAAUUUCAGAUAGCUUAAGGACUUAGAGAUGGGGCAUUUAAUUAUAUCUGCAAAAUCCCUUUUUACAUGUAAGGUGAUAUGGUCACAGCAUGGGACAUCUUUGGGAGACAUUUGGCCGUCUCACACCUGAUGUAAAAAUGCAAGCCAUUAUCCUAGACUGGAUCUUGUACUAGAGGAAAAUACUAAAAAGAUACAGCCAAUAGAUUUAAGUAUUUUAGUUAUUGGUAAAUUUACUGAAGUUGACAACCAUACUGUGGCUACAAAGAAGAAGAGCCUUUACUUAGGAAACACACACUGAAGUAUGUAGCGGUAAACAUCCCUUAUAUAUACAAGUGAUUCAAUGAGUUCAGGAAAACAAUAACACACACGUUUGCACAUUUACUUUAGUAAAUGAGGCAAAAUGUUAAAAGUAGACGAAUAUGCAUUAAAGAGUUUGUGAGUGUUUUUGGAAUACUCACAACUUUUCUGUAAGUUUGGAAUUAUUUCCAAACAAAAAGUUAAAGCUGAUAAAUCUAUAAUUAAAAAUGGAUAAAUCUUCUUUUUACUCAAAUACCAUAAGCAAAUCAAAAUAUAUAUCAUUUUAUAAACAUUGGGAUAACAGCAGAUGUGUGGCACAAAUUCAGCAAUCCAAUUUUUGGUCUUUCUGCAAUAACGUUACUGGUAAAUGAAAGGAUCAGAAAUGUUUAGGAUUUUUAAGGUUAGUGACUUAAAAUCCUAACAGUCUGGCAAUAUUACAGUUUCAAGAGCUUAAGACAGAAUUGGUGAUUAUCAUCAGGUUUAAAUACCAACUGGCUGGUAGCACCCUGCUAUUUGUGACAAGGAAACUGCUAGGUAAUUUUCUAAGAGGUCCCUUAGAAAAGUACCUCCCCUCCCCCCACCAUUUUCAGGAGUACUUAGCAGAAUUUUAAAGCAAAACUACAACAAUAAAGCGUAUUCUAUUCUAGAGCCACCUUCUGCCCGGUGCUUCAAGACGGAAUUUUAUUGCCGUGGCCCCAGAGAAUCUUUCUGGUGCUCAUUCUGAUUCCUACUCCACCCUUUAUUGUUUAAAGACAAAAUAUAAUGCAGCUGGGUCUCUGACCACUGACAAAUAAUCACUGGCCUCUCCACUGGGAAACUCCUCUGGUCUUGGCAGAAACUAACAUUUUAAAAUAAAGGUAAAACAAAGUGUAAGACCCCGUUUCUACCCAAAGCCUUAUGCACGAGCUUAUUUUCUUGCCAACUGUGGUAGCCAAGAACAAAGUUUCUCCAGUUGUGCCAGGACGGUGUGCCAAGAUCAAAUAAUAGUGGACUUUUCUCAAUUACAGAAACAAGAAAAAAAAACGUGGCAAUGAAUCAGCUUUAUUUUUGCAAGUUUGGCUCUUGCUACCACAGCCCAUACUAAAAUGUGUGACUGAGCACAACCUAGGAUUUUAUCAGCACAAAGUAAUCUAUUUUGUUAUUUUCAAUUUAACAUGAAAAGCUGCAUGAUUUCUUUGAGUUUGGCAAUCACAGACCUAAAUGCUUCUGCCAGGAGCAGGGUGCACCUUUAUUACUUACACGUUUCACUCAGAACACCCUCCCUUGCUAUUGAUGACUAGAGGUUUCUUUUGAAGACUGUCACUUUUUAGUUGGACAACCCUGGGCAAAAUGCUUAUAAACCUCAGUGUGUCAUUUGUAAAACAAGAACCCAUACAAAUCACAGAAGCUGUCUUGCCUUCCUUGAAGGGUUUUUCUAACCAUCCAAAGAAAUAAAUAUGUGAAAUCAUCAUGAAAGUUAAAAAAAAAAAAAAAGCAUUAUGAAAAGGCCAGAUAGUCCCCCUCACCUAGUUAUUAAAAUUUUUGCACAUAAAGCUAAUUGAUGUGUUUGUUCCUUAAAAUGUCUGCCAAAGGGCUGGCUCCAGAACUUUUCCUAACAAAUACUGUACCUGCUGCCUGAGUGAUUGACUGAAUAGAUGAAUUAACUUUCAAGCUGCUAUGAUUUUACAUUCCUGUUUGAAGAGAACUCCCCCUAAUUCAGUGGAACAGACACUAACCUAAACUUGAGGGUAUCUGGUUCAACAUGAAGAAACACAUUCUAAGGAGUUCUAAGGAACUUUAGAUAGCUCGUGCUAAAAUGUUUACUUUCUUAAUGAAAAUUGGCCUUUGACAUUCUCUUGAAAAUAACCUUAUAGUCUUUGAAUGACUUUUUAAGCACAAGCACUUAGUGAUGUAACACACUUAAAAUGGUCAUCAUUUUGAUUGACUAAGCCACAAAAAGUAUUCAAAGCCUAAGACAACUUGCACAGGGUGGAUUUAUAAUAAGCAUUUCAUAAAUCGUGGAAAGAUGUUUACUUGCAGAGUAACCCAAACGAUUUUAAAUUAAGUCAAGGAACACAAUCCAGUAGUUAAAAUGAAUCAUCGUGGAUUGGCACAUUACAGGUCAAAGGCAUGUCACAAAAUACAAGCAAGUUGCAAAGUGGUAUAUGUACUACAGUGUAAUUAACAUAAAUAUGAAAAUAUGCAAAAAAUACAGUAUCUUCUGGGUGCAUAGUUUGCCGUAAAUAUGAAAGAGCAGGCAGAGUUACUAUGCACUGUUGCACUCAACACAACUCUUCAGGCCAUGACUUGAAAACACAUGGUAGAAUGAAAGAUUCCAGCUCAAAAUACUUGUUCCUAAGAGUCAAAUUGCCUGUACGAGACAAAGUGGGGACCACUGGAGAUAGGAAAGAGGCAUGGUAGUAUUUAUAAUGUUUCAUUAAAAAUACAUAUUUAUGGAGCGCCUGGGUGGCUCAGUCAGUCGAGUGCCCAACUCUUGAUUUCAGCUCAGGUCAUGAUCUCAUGGUUCAUGGGUUUGAGCCUCACACUGGGCUCUUUGCUGACAGCACAGAGCCUGCUUGGGAUUCUCUCUCUUUGGCCCUCCUCUGCUGUUGUUUGCUCAAAAAAAAAAAAAAAAAAAAAGCCAAAAACAAAA